AAUGAACGCUGGCGGCAUGCCUUACACAUGCAAGUCGAACGGCAGCACCGACUUCGGUCUCGUGGCGGGUGGCGAAGGGGUGAGUCAUGCAUCGGCACUUACCUUUCCGCGCGGGAUAACGUGGCGAAACUUGCGCUAAUACCGCAUACUCUGUUAUCACGCCAGCGGGUGAUCGCAAGAUCUUGCGCCUAUUUAGCGGCCGAUAUCCGAUUAGCUAGUUGGUGGGGUAAAGGCCUACCAAGGCGACGAUCUGUAGCGGGUCUGAGAGGAUGAUCCGCCACACUGGAACUGAGACACGGUCCAGACUCCUACGGGAGGCAGCAGUGGGGAAUGUUGGACAAUGGGGGCAAGCCUGAUCCAGCCAUACCGCGUGAGUGAAGAAGGCCUUCGGGUUGGAAAGCGAUUUCGGCCGGGAAGAAAUCGCGCAGGUUAAUACCCUGUGUUGAUGACGGUACCGGAAGAAGAAGCACCGGCUAACUACGUG
Molecule: ribosomal RNA, 484 nt
Filed under: uncultured bacterium
Lineage: Bacteria
Description: partial 16S ribosomal RNA
Rfam family: Bacterial small subunit ribosomal RNA
Source: RNAcentral